UAUCCAUGUUGGGGACAAAGGGUUUGCAACUCUUUGUAUCUCCCCCAGGUUUGGUAUAAGGUUUCACUAUCCUUUUGGGCAAAUGAGGAAAUUUGCUUCUUAAAGACA
This 108-nucleotide small nucleolar RNA is filed under the name Olea europaea subsp. europaea. Its description in RNAcentral is "Plant small nucleolar RNA R71". It matches the Rfam family "Plant small nucleolar RNA R71". Rfam says of the family: R71 is a member of the C/D box family of snoRNAs containing the C (UGAUGA) and D (CUGA) box motifs. Multiple nearly identical copies of this snoRNA have been identified in Arabidopsis, and it is thought to function as a 2'-O-ribose methylation guide for 18S ribosomal RNA. The record is from Rfam by way of RNAcentral. Lineage: Eukaryota; Viridiplantae; Streptophyta; Magnoliopsida; Lamiales; Oleaceae.